GUGCUCACUUUGGCACACGCAGACUAAAAUCGGAAGGACCCAGAGAAGCCUAGCAUGGCUGUGUGCAAGGAUGACAGGCAAAUUCAUGAGGCGUUCCCUAUUUUU
Small nuclear RNA from Pteronotus mesoamericanus, 105 nucleotides. The record is from RefSeq and is a predicted model, not a curated record. Lineage: Eukaryota; Metazoa; Chordata; Mammalia; Chiroptera; Mormoopidae.